AGGUUACUGCUAUCGGUGUUCGCCUAAGCCAUGCGAGUCAUAUGUUCGUAAGAACAUGGCGUACUGCUCAGUAACACGUGGAUAACCUGCCCUUGGGUCCGGCAUAACCCCGGGAAACUGGGGAUAAUUCCGGAUAACGCACAUAUGCUGGAAUGCUUUAUGCGUAAAAUGGAUUCGUCUGCCCAAGGAUGGGUCUGCGGCCUAUCAGGUAGUAGUGGGUGUAAUGUACCUACUAGCCUACGACGGGUACGGGUUGUGAGAGCAAGAGCCCGGAGAUGGAUUCUGAGACAUGAAUCCAGGCCCUACGGGGCGCAGCAGGCGCGAAAACUUUACAAUGCGGGAAACCGUGAUAAGGGGACACCGAGUGCCAGCAUCCUAUGCUUGCUGUCCGGGUGUGUAAAAUACACCUGUUAGCAAGGGCCGGGCAAGACCGGUGCCAGCCGCCGCGGUAACACCGGCGGCCCGAGUGGUGAUCGUGAUUAUUGGGUCUAAAGGGUCCGUAGCCGGUUUGGUCAGUCCUCCGGGAAAUCUGACAGCUUAACUGUUAGGCUUUCGGAGGAUACUGCCAGACUUGGAACCGGGAGAGGUGAGAGGUACUACAGGGGUAGGAGUGAAAUCUUGUAAUCCCUGUGGGACCACCUGUGGCGAAGGCGUCUUACCAGAACGGGUUCGACGGUGAGGGACGAAAGCUGGGGGCACGAACCGGAUUAGAUACCCGGGUAGUCCCAGCCGUAAACGAUGCUCGCUAGGUGUCAGGCAUGGCGCGACCGUGUCUGGUGCCGCAGGGAAGCCGUGAAGCGAGCCACCUGGGAAGUACGGCCGCAAGGCUGAAACUUAA
This 838-nucleotide ribosomal RNA is filed under the name uncultured archaeon. Its description in RNAcentral is "bacterial SSU rRNA". It matches the Rfam family "Archaeal small subunit ribosomal RNA", at positions 21 to 859 of the family's 1478-position model. The record is from RNAcentral.